CGGACGGGUGAGUAACGCGUAGGUAUCUGUCCAUGGGUGGGGGAUAACGGCGGGAAACUGCUGCUAAUAGCGGAUGACACCUGAGGGUCAAAGGCUUUGGGGCAACCUGGGGCCGCCUGUGGAGGAGCCUGCGUCCGAUUAGCUAGUUGGUGGGGUAAUGGCCUACCAAGGCUGCGAUCGGUAGCUGGUCUGAGAGGAUGAUCAGCCACACUGGCACUGAAACACGGGCCAGAGUCCUACGGGAGGCAGCAGUUGGGGAAUUUUGCACAAUGGGGGCAACCCUGAUGCAGCGACGCCGCGUGAGCGAUGAAGCCCCUCGGGGUGUAAAGCUCUUUCGGCAGGGACGAUAAUGAACGGUACCUGAAGAAGAAGCUGCGGCUAACUACGUGCCAGCAGCCGGGUAAUACGUAGGCCGCGAGCGUCGUUCGGAAUUACUGGGCGUAAAAGAGUGUGUAGGCGGUGCUCUAAGUUCGGUGUGAAAUCUCCUGGCUUAACUGGGAGGGUGCGCCGAAAAACUGGAGUGCUCGAGCGUU
This 533-nucleotide ribosomal RNA is filed under the name uncultured bacterium. RNAcentral describes it as "bacterial SSU rRNA". It matches the Rfam family "Bacterial small subunit ribosomal RNA", at positions 99 to 650 of the family's 1533-position model. The record is from RNAcentral.